This 253-nucleotide ribosomal RNA is filed under the name uncultured bacterium. Its description in RNAcentral is "partial 16S ribosomal RNA". It matches the Rfam family "Bacterial small subunit ribosomal RNA", at positions 524 to 776 of the family's 1533-position model. The record is from RNAcentral.
GACGAACCGUGCGAACGUUGUUCGGAAUCACUGGGCUUAAAGGGCGCGUAGGCGGCUGGGUAAGUCUCGGGUGAAAUCUUUCGGCUCAACCGGAAACGUGCCUGGGAUACUGCUCAGCUCGAGGGAGAUAGGGGCGGACGGAACUUCCGGUGGAGCGGUGAAAUGCGUUGAUAUCGGAAGGAACGCCGGUGGCGAAAGCGGUCCGCUGGAUCUCUACUGACGCUGAGGCGCGAAAGCCAGGGGAGCAAACGGG